CCUGAACCGGCGACUGGACGCGGUGGAGGCGUGGGAUUCGGAGGCCGGGACCCCAAGCUCUGCGCUGGAGGCGUCAGGAGCCGCGAGGUCAUCCGGUCUCAACCUCAGGCGCCCCUGUGCAGGCCUCCCUACACUCCUCAAGCUGCGCUCCCUACUCGUGCCACAUCCCUUGUUCCAUUUUAACCUAGAAAUGGAAAGGUGGAGAAAAGCACAUUGUGGUGAAGAUGUGAGGGAAAAGAGGAACAGUACCCAGCAGUAUCAUCAACAUCUUCUGCUCCAGCUACAGAACUCCAAGUCCUUCUAGAAGCUUUCCUCGGGCAUCCCCAUAACAGCCCAACCCUGGAUCCAUUCUUAGGCCCAAUUCAGCCUCAUGGGGAAGAGUCUUCCUCCUUCCUUGCUCCCUGAGUUUCUUUUCAAAGCAACUUUUAUCUACGUAUUUACUGCAAAAGUUUAAAGUCUCAGAACCAAGGAAAACUGAAACUGCAAGGCCCUUUCUACACAGCAAAGGGAGGCCAGUGCUGGGUGGUAUACUUCAAAUGGCAACCUUUGGCCCCUCAAGGCUAAACUAAAACGUAAUUUUCCUCACCUUAGAGCUGAAAAUGAGAUUUAAUUUUGUGGCUUCCUGGCUGUGAAGUUGGCCUGUUUUUCUAGACUAUAUAUAUAAAAUGUUCAU
This 673-nucleotide long non-coding RNA is filed under the name Homo sapiens (human). RNAcentral describes it as "HSALNT0199087". Lineage: Eukaryota; Metazoa; Chordata; Mammalia; Primates; Hominidae. The record is from RNAcentral.